This 567-nucleotide ribosomal RNA is filed under the name uncultured bacterium. RNAcentral describes it as "partial 16S ribosomal RNA". It matches the Rfam family "Bacterial small subunit ribosomal RNA", at positions 355 to 914 of the family's 1533-position model. The record is from RNAcentral.
UGGGGAAUUUUGGACAAUUGGGGGAAACCCUGAUCCAGCCAUCCCGCGUGUGCGAUGAAGGCCUUCGGGUUGUAAAGCACUUUUGGCAGGAAAGAAACGUCGCGGGUUAAUACCCCGCGGAACUGACGGUACCUGCAGAAUAAGCACCGGCUAACUACGUGCCAGCAGCCGCGGUAAUACGUAGGGUGCAAGCGUUAAUCGGAAUUACUGGGCGUAAAGCGUGCGCAGGCGGUUCGGAAAGAAAGAUGUGAAAUCCCAGAGCUUAACUUUGGAACUGCAUUUUUAACUACCGGGCUAGAGUGUGUCAGAGGGAGGUGGAAUUCCGCGUGUAGCAGUGAAAUGCGUAGAUAUGCGGAGGAACACCGAUGGCGAAGGCAGCCUCCUGGGAUAACACUGACGCUCAUGCACGAAAGCGUGGGGAGCAAACAGGAUUAGAUACCCUGGUAGUCCACGCCCUAAACGAUGUCAACUAGCUGUUGGGGUCUUCGGACCUUGGUAGCGCAGCUAACGCGUGAAGUUGACCGCCUGGGGAGUACGGUCGCAAGAUUAAAACUCAAAUGAAUUGAC